AUGGGAGCUUGCUCCCUGAUGUCAGCGGCGGACGGGUGAGUAACACGUGGGUAACCUGCCUGUAAGACUGGGAUAACUCCGGGAAACCGGGGCUAAUACCGGAUAUGCUUUUUCCUCCGCAUGGAGGAAGACGGAAAGGCGGCUUUUAGCUGUCACUUACAGAUGGACCCGCGGCGCAUUAGCUAGUUGGUGAGGUAACGGCUCACCAAGGCGACGAUGCGUAGCCGACCUGAGAGGGUGAUCGGCCACACUGGGACUGAGACACGGCCCAGACUCCUACGGGAGGCAGCAGUAGGGAAUCUUCCGCAAUGGACGAAAGUCUGACGGAGCAACGCCGCGUGAGUGAAGAAGGUUUUCGGAUCGUAAAGCUCUGUUGUCAGGGAAGAACAAGUACGGGAGUAACUGUCCGUACCUUGACGGUACCUGACCAGAAAGCCACGGCUAACUACGUGCCAGCAGCCGCGGUAAUACGUAGGUGGCAAGCGUUGUCCGGAAUUAUUGGGCGUAAAGCGCGCGCAGGCGGCUUCUUAAGUCUGAUGUGAAAGCCCACGGCUCAACCGUGGAGGGUCAUUGGAAACUGGGAGGCUUGAGUGCAGAAGAGGAGAGCGGAAUUCCACGUGUAGCGGUGAAAUGCGUAGAGAUGUGGAGGAACACCAGUGGCGAAGGCGGCUCUCUGGUCUGUAACUGACGCUGAGGCGCGAAAGCGUGGGGAGCGAACAGGAUUAGAUACCCUGGUAGUCCACGCCGUAAACGAUGAGUGCUAAGUGUUGGAGGGUUUCCGCCCUUCAGUGCUGCAGCUA
This 800-nucleotide ribosomal RNA is filed under the name Bacillus sp. JC46. RNAcentral describes it as "bacterial SSU rRNA". It matches the Rfam family "Bacterial small subunit ribosomal RNA", at positions 72 to 854 of the family's 1533-position model. Lineage: Bacteria; Bacillati; Bacillota; Bacilli; Caryophanales; Bacillaceae. The record is from RNAcentral.